This 1373-nucleotide ribosomal RNA is filed under the name Limosilactobacillus reuteri. Its description in RNAcentral is "bacterial SSU rRNA". It matches the Rfam family "Bacterial small subunit ribosomal RNA", at positions 48 to 1417 of the family's 1533-position model. The record is from RNAcentral. Lineage: Bacteria; Bacillati; Bacillota; Bacilli; Lactobacillales; Lactobacillaceae.
AUGGUGCUUGCACCUGAUUGACGAUGGAUCACCAGUGAGUGGCGGACGGGUGAGUAACACGUAGGUAACCUGCCCCGGAGCGGGGGAUAACAUUUGGAAACAGAUGCUAAUACCGCAUAACAACAAAAGCCACAUGGCUUUUGUUUGAAAGAUGGCUUUGGCUAUCACUCUGGGAUGGACCUGCGGUGCAUUAGCUAGUUGGUAAGGUAACGGCUUACCAAGGCGAUGAUGCAUAGCCGAGUUGAGAGACUGAUCGGCCACAAUGGAACUGAGACACGGUCCAUACUCCUACGGGAGGCAGCAGUAGGGAAUCUUCCACAAUGGGCGCAAGCCUGAUGGAGCAACACCGCGUGAGUGAAGAAGGGUUUCGGCUCGUAAAGCUCUGUUGUUGGAGAAGAACGUGCGUGAGAGUAACUGUUCACGCAGUGACGGUAUCCAACCAGAAAGUCACGGCUAACUACGUGCCAGCAGCCGCGGUAAUACGUAGGUGGCAAGCGUUAUCCGGAUUUAUUGGGCGUAAAGCGAGCGCAGGCGGUCGCUUAGGUCUGAUGUGAAAGCCUUCGGCUUAACCGAAGAAGUGCAUCGGAAACCGGGCGACUUGAGUGCAGAAGAGGACAGUGGAACUCCAUGUGUAGCGGUGGAAUGCGUAGAUAUAUGGAAGAACACCAGUGGCGAAGGCGGCUGUCUGGUCUGCAACUGACGCUGAGGCUCGAAAGCAUGGGUAGCGAACAGGAUUAGAUACCCUGGUAGUCCAUGCCGUAAACGAUGAGUGCUAGGUGUUGGAGGGUUUCCGCCCUUCAGUGCCGGAGCUAACGCAUUAAGCACUCCGCCUGGGGAGUACGACCGCAAGGUUGAAACUCAAAGGAAUUGACGGGGGCCCGCACAAGCGGUGGAGCAUGUGGUUUAAUUCGAAGCUACGCGAAGAACCUUACCAGGUCUUGACAUCUUGCGCUAACCUUAGAGAUAAGGCGUUCCCUUCGGGGACGCAAUGACAGGUGGUGCAUGGUCGUCGUCAGCUCGUGUCGUGAGAUGUUGGGUUAAGUCCCGCAACGAGCGCAACCCUUGUUACUAGUUGCCAGCAUUAAGUUGGGCACUCUAGUGAGACUGCCGGUGACAAACCGGAGGAAGGUGGGGACGACGUCAGAUCAUCAUGCCCCUUAUGACCUGGGCUACACACGUGCUACAAUGGACGGUACAACGAGUCGCAAGCUCGCGAGAGUAAGCUAAUCUCUUAAAGCCGUUCUCAGUUCGGACUGUAGGCUGCAACUCGCCUACACGAAGUCGGAAUCGCUAGUAAUCGCGGAUCAGCAUGCCGCGGUGAAUACGUUCCCGGGCCUUGUACACACCGCCCGUCACACCAUGGGAGUUUGUAA